UGGGCGUGUAGCUCAGUGGUAGAGCACUGUGUUGACAUCGCAGGGGUCGCAAGUUCAAUCCUUGCCACGCCCACCAU
This 77-nucleotide transfer RNA is filed under the name Sphingobium indicum UT26S. RNAcentral describes it as "Sphingobium japonicum UT26S tRNA-Val (GAC)". It matches the Rfam family "tRNA". From Rfam's summary of the family: Transfer RNA (tRNA) molecules are approximately 80 nucleotides in length. Their secondary structure includes four short double-helical elements and three loops (D, anti-codon, and T loops). The record is from RNAcentral. Lineage: Bacteria; Pseudomonadati; Pseudomonadota; Alphaproteobacteria; Sphingomonadales; Sphingobiaceae.